RNAcentral lists this ribosomal RNA (254 nucleotides) under uncultured bacterium. Its description in RNAcentral is "partial 16S ribosomal RNA". It matches the Rfam family "Bacterial small subunit ribosomal RNA", at positions 524 to 777 of the family's 1533-position model. The record is from RNAcentral.
UACGUAGGGGGCUAGCGUUGUCCGGAUUUAUUGGGCGUAAAGAGCGUGUAGGCGGCCAGGUAGGUCUGCUGUGAAAACUCGAGGCUCAACCUCGAGACGUCGGCGGAAACCAUCUGGCUAGAGUCCGGAAGAGGAGAGUGGAAUUCCUGGUGUAGCGGUGAAAUGCGCAGAUAUCGAGAGGAACACCUGCGGCGAAGGCGGGUUGCUGGGCUGAUACUGACGCUGAGGCGCGAAAGCCAGGGGAGCGAACGGGG